Homo sapiens (human) is the source of this 2424-nucleotide long non-coding RNA. Ensembl annotates it as long intergenic non-protein coding RNA 2956. The record is from Ensembl. Lineage: Eukaryota; Metazoa; Chordata; Mammalia; Primates; Hominidae.
AAAUUACCCAGUAUCAGGUAUUGUCUUUAUUAGCAGCGUGAGAACAGACUAAUACAGUACACUACAAUUUAGACUUCUAGUGACUAUACCUGGAGCCCCCUGUUCUCCACCUCUCUCUCACAGGUACACACACAACCAUCCACUUAUUGAAGAGGAUGAGCAAGGGCACAGCCUCAAGCCCACUGCCUGUGUUUGAAUUCUGAGUGGUUUGCUAACUAUGUAGAUUUGGGCAAAUCACUUAAAACUCGUUUUCUUGUCUGAAAAAUUGAUAGUAAAGGUGCUUACCUUGCGGGCUAUUGCAAAGGACAAAAUAAAGUCUAGUAUGUGUAUUUGUUCGUCACUGCAUUUCCAGAGCCUAGAACAGGGCCUGGUGUGCAGUAGGUGCACAAUGCGUGUCCGUGGAACCAGCAGCAGGCCCUCUACCUGCCUGCCAGUGCAGGCACUGGUCAGUCACCAUGACAAAGCUGAUCUGCCUGCCCCUCACACACUUGCUCCCCAAUCCCUUCACUUGGUGACAGCCUUCCCCGACACCCUUGGGCGCCCGGCCCCUGGGACGCCUGUGGAGCUGUUGGGGAGAAGGAAAUCUGAGGCCCCCACAUCCUGACCCAGGACCAGCUGGCCUUGCGGAUUCCAGAACUUUCUGAAGCAGCCAGCCGGCCACCAGCCAGGAAGCGGAAGGUGCAGAAAUAGAAACGCACAGAGAGGCAAUUGCUCCUUUUGCCCUGCAAGGAAGGGAAGCCGGGGGAGAGGGGCCAGGAGAGGAAGCUGAGGGGCAGAGGAGAGGAUGGGGAGGCCAAGGACGGCGGGAUGGGGUUCCAGAGCUUGCCGGACCUCGGCCCCCGCCUGCUCCCAUGUCCAGUGCCCUGGGUCAGGGCUGUGGGGAGCAGCUUUCAACACCUUCAUUUUCCUGACAAGAUCCCAAAAUGAGGAGCUCUGAUUUGCUCUGAAUGCGACUUGAAGCCAGGCCCCGGGGAAAGUAUUUGUGGCAACUUUCAAGGGUUGAUGCUGUGGCUGGCAGCAGAGGUGGGGGGCAGGAGGGGGGUGCUCACAAUGGUCGUUGGCUGACUGACUGACUGAAUGAAUGAAUGAAUGAGUGAGUGAGUUGUGGCCAGCCCUAUACCCCAGCAGAGCCACUGGGCUUGAGGACAGGACCCUGCCUGCUGGCCACGUACCUAGACAGCCACAGACAGAAAACACGCUUAGCAGGCUGCACUGAGGCGGAGAAAUGAGAUCUGGCCCCAGCUCAGCUCUGCUGCAUCCCAGGUCAUCCGAGGAUGUCACUGGCCUUCUCAGCCUCACACCCCUUCCUCCCAGUCUGGGAGUAUAGCAGGAGGCCCCCCAAAAGUGUCCUCUAGUCCAGACUCCCCCACUGCAGCCAGCCUACAUUCUAGAGCUGACAUGGGCCAAGACCAGGAAGGAAGGGCCACCUUCCCUGAAGGACACUGACUCCUCAACCCCUGUGCUCAGCCGACCUUGCGAAGUUGGAAACACACUGCCCUCCUAGGCUGAGCUGAGCCCUUCCCAGCUCGCAGCCCAGCGGGUCCCUGAGGUCCCAUAGAGGGGGCUGGCAGUGGCUUCUUCCAGGCAGGGCCCCAAUGCCCACCACCCACCUUGGAAGGUCUGGCUGGAGGGGUCUCUGAGGACAGGGACCAUGACAAGGUUCCCCUUGCCUCCCCCAUGCUAUGGCCCUGGCCCUCCUGCAGAGCCCACGGUCCUGGCAGGGGCCACACAGGAUCCCUGCACCCGUGGCCCAACCACAGGCUCGGCCACCAUGCACACGGCACAAGCAUCUGCUCCCUGGCCUUCCUGACAGGCAGCGGGCGCCCUGGCACUGGCGGGCGGGCAGGCGGCGUGUGCAGGUUGGGGCCGCCCAGGGGCAGGAGUGCAGGCCUGCAGUUGACAAGGCCUGGUUUCCUGCUCUCACUCUGGGGAGGAAGAGGAAGAUGACAAGCAAACCAGUGCUUGUCAAGGAGUCAUCUAAACACGCACUCAGAGGCCACUUCCAAAGACCGCCCUGAGGCAGUCCAGGGUCCAUCGCCGACCACCCUCCCCAAAAAAGAAUGACAUCAGCCAGGUGACAGCAGCAGGCAGGUACAGAUGGGGUCCUCUAGGGAUGGCAGAUUGCCAGGGAGCCUGGUCACCCUUCCCUAAGGGUCAACUCAGUUUCUCAGCCAUGGACCAAGGUGCCCCUUUGUCCUGUGAACUUUGAGAAGCAGAGGGCCCUUCUCUUUGGAGUCUGAGAGAAGCCCAGGAGAAGAAGGAAUGAAACCCUGCACAUCUCAUCUUCUUAAAAUGCAGAUUCAGGCCUGUUUUUCCAAGUCCAUCACCAAACACAAGGUCUUUCCAAAUUAGGUGCUGAGCUGAGCUCAUAUUCCCAAAAUGCACACUCCCCUCCUUUUUUUUUUUUUUUUGCUUGGGAAUGCU